Molecule: long non-coding RNA, 1412 nt
Organism: Neofelis nebulosa (Clouded leopard)
Lineage: Eukaryota; Metazoa; Chordata; Mammalia; Carnivora; Felidae
Exons: 2
Source: RefSeq, a predicted model, not a curated record
CAAGUGGUUCUAAUACACAGCAGUUGAGACCCACCACUCGAUGGCAGUCCCGGCAUCAGGGACGGAACAAGAGCACCCAUGAAUCCCCACCCCAGGGUCUUAUUUGGGAUAGAAAUCUUACAUGCCAGUCUUGCACCCUGGCUCUUCAAGAGCCGGCAGGAAUGUCUCUGUCAAGACAAGGACACAAGGGACAGGACUCCAAGGGAUAGAGCACAGGUCAUCGAAGAAAGAGGACAGAAGCCCUGGAUUUCAGGGCCCAGGUUCAUCUGUGUCCUCCGCACACAGAGGGCCAAGUAGAGGAACUCCAUCCGCCCUCUGCUCCCGUGCCAACAGGGAGUAUACAACAUCCCCCACAGGGGUCUACCCAACAUCUACCUUUCCCUCCCAGUCCCCAAACUUGACCUAAAAUCACCUCCUGGGGCGGCAUUCCCUCUCCUUGUAUUCCUGCAACUUUGUUUGCUUCCUGGGUUUAAUGUUUGCCAUUCACCCUCCGCUACAUUUCAUGUUGCGUCUAUGCCACGUUUCUUGUUUCUCCCUCCAUUGUUUCUGAAAAUGUGAGCAAAUGUGAAUUUAUACUUGUGUUUACCCACUGUUUUCAAAAAACCAAAAGGUAGCCCACACCAUACCUCUGUAAACAUCGCUUUCUUCACUCGUUGUGUCCUGAGGAUGCCUUCCCAGCAGUAGACAGAGACCCUCCUCAUCCCUGGUAGACUACCUAGGGCUCCAGUGUGCAGACCCACCAUCAAAAGAAACCACGGUCUCCUGUUGUCAGAUCCUUGGCUUCUUCGUCAUCUUUUGCUGUUCAAGGUAGUGCCAUAUGCAUAUGUCAUUUUGCAUUUUGCCAAUAAUACCCCAGCUUGGGGUAGGCUUCUGACUGCAAGCACUCAGCUCUCUGUGUCUGUGCCUUCUGGAGAGCAUGGUAAGCAGCGAGUGACCUGGCAAGCCAGUUACACAGGAUUUGGUCCACAGAGUUCCUGGUGUACCUUGGAAAGUACACUUUUACAUGUCUCCAAAUGAAGGCUGCAGUGAGUUUUCUGAGCACCAAGGCUAAGCUCCAAGUCUGGACUCCCUGGGCCUUUUCGAGUCCUGGUUUAAGCCCAGACCGAUUCUGGCCGUUCGUUUUUGCCUUCCCACAGCUUCCAUGGGCCUCUACUAGAGGCCUCUAAAGAGGCCUCUUUCCACCUCUACUAUCACAUUCUCUUGGUCUCUGGCACAAGAGUGGCAACAACUGAGGUGCAGGGUUCAAGCUGCAGACUGAUAUCGCAGCAAAAUCUACUUUACGAGGAGACAGAGCAAAAUGGCUCCCAUCUGUAACCCAGGAAGAGGGCUUUCACCAGGAACCAAGUCAGUCAGCACCUUGAGCUGAGAUUUGUAGCCUUCAAAACUGUAAGAAAUAAAUGUCUGUUGCUUAA